Molecule: ribosomal RNA, 468 nt
Filed under: uncultured bacterium
Lineage: Bacteria
Description: partial 16S ribosomal RNA
Rfam family: Bacterial small subunit ribosomal RNA
Source: RNAcentral
GACGAACGCUGGCGGCGUGCUUAACACAUGCAAGUCGAACGGAAAGGCCCUGCUUUUGUGGGGUGCUCGAGUGGCGAACGGGUGAGUAACACGUGAGUAACCUGCCCUUGACUUUGGGAUAACUUCAGGAAACUGGGGCUAAUACCGGAUAGGAGCUCCUGCUGCAUGGUGGGGGUUGGAAAGUUUCGGCGGUUGGGGAUGGACUCGCGGCUUAUCAGCUUGUUGGUGGGGUAGUGGCUUACCAAGGCUGUGACGGGUAGCCGGCCUGGGAGGGUGACCGGCCACAUUGGGACUGAGAUACGGCCCGGACUGCUACGGGAGGCAGCAGUGGGGAAUAUUGCACGAUGGGCGGAAGCCGUAUGCAGCAACGCCGCGUGCGGGAUGACGGCCUUCGGGUUGUAAACCGCUUUCGCCUGUGACGAAGCGUGAGUGACGGUAAUGGGUAAAGAAGCACCGGCUAACUACGUG